ACAUGACUACAACAUAUGGUUAAUGCGCCAUAUCCCAUUAGAACUCCGCUUUUAAGCGCGCUUGGGCUAGAGUAGUACUAGGAUGGGUGACCUCCCAUUAAUUCCUAGUAUUUUACAUGCC
Picea glauca (white spruce) is the source of this 121-nucleotide non-coding RNA. Lineage: Eukaryota; Viridiplantae; Streptophyta; Pinopsida; Pinales; Pinaceae. The record is from Rfam.